GGAAGUUAAAGAAACUGUUUCUUAAUUUUUAACUAAAAAAGCUAAGAACUAGUUCUUAAUAAGGACUUUAAGAACAGGUUCUUAGCUUUUUUAGUUAAAAAUUAAGAAACAGUUUCAUAAUUUCC
This is a microRNA precursor of Brassica oleracea var. oleracea, 125 nucleotides long. It matches the Rfam family "MIR9563 microRNA precursor family". The record is from Rfam. Lineage: Eukaryota; Viridiplantae; Streptophyta; Magnoliopsida; Brassicales; Brassicaceae.